AAAAUUUCAAAAUUUAUUUGGAUUAAUAUCUGUAAAACUUUAUACAAAAAAGAAUUACAGUCUUUGAUGAUUUUCAUACAUUUUUAAAAUAGCUUUGCGGAAUUUCAAUUAUGGGUAUCAAUUUGAAUAUAUUCAUAACUCGUGCAGUUUAAAGCAAUUAGAAUGACACAUAACAAAAUAUCUAUCCAAUUGUCAAAGUUUUACAAGUGAUACAAUUCAACUGUCAUUUCGAUCACAAUUUUAACUGGUCAAUUUCAAUGUUGAGGAGUUUAUAAAAAAUCAUGUUGACUCUAUUAUUCCUUCAUUUUUAACCUUAUUUGACACAUCGUAGAAGUCGAUUACCUUUCAAAUUCAAUCAUAGAUAUUACUUGUUGUUUUGCAAGAAGUCGACAUUCCGGGGAAUGGUUGCUUCCGUGAAACAGUACUUUCAUUAUUACAAUAUUACAUAACAUAUUGCUGAAGAAUGAUCAAAUCACUUGCUGGGUUAAGGGUUUUGAAUACAUGGAAUAUAAUAAAGAUACAAUAAUAACAAUUUUUAAUCGUCUUUAAGGAACUUUUUUACUGUUUUCAAUGACGUCAUAACGACACGUAGGUGAUUAGGCUACGAGUGUGGAAUUUCAAUGUUUAUAUUUAAAGUGUAACUUGUCAUUUGGAAAUAAGUGCAAACUUUCGCAGUUUUAUGGAUUUUUAUCGGUAUCGUGUGCCGUCAGUUAGAGUUUACGUUAGGGUUUCCAAGUUAUCGUAGAUUUUCAGAACUGUGAGUCGCACGAGCAUCUCAUCAUCAAUAUAAUACAGCGUUGCACUAGCACCUUGGCAUAUCGCUCCUUUUUGACAAACUUGACAGAACGUCAAAAUAAACAAAUUAAACCUUCCUGUCAUCAAAUCUAAAUAGACACGGGAUGCAUUUUGAUACAAAGCUUUUUUACCUUAAGCUAUUUGAUAGCAUUUCAUGUUCUAUUUCAAUCUCCAUUAAUCUUUUAUCAUCUCUUGGAAUAUCGAACCAAACCCUUAUUUAAAGACUUUCAUGAACCAAAUACCAUUUAGCAAAUAUUCAUGCUUCCGCAAAUCUUAAACAUGAAUAUGCUUCUUAUUAGAUAAUCAACGAAAC
RNAcentral lists this long non-coding RNA (1108 nucleotides) under Mytilus galloprovincialis (Mediterranean mussel). Lineage: Eukaryota; Metazoa; Mollusca; Bivalvia; Mytilida; Mytilidae. The record is from RNAcentral.